Molecule: ribosomal RNA, 434 nt
Filed under: uncultured bacterium
Lineage: Bacteria
Description: bacterial SSU rRNA
Rfam family: Bacterial small subunit ribosomal RNA
Source: RNAcentral
UGAGGAAUAUUGGUCAAUGGACGUGAGUCUGAACCAGCCAAGUCGCGUGAAGGAAGAAGGUUCUAUGGAUUGUAAACUUCUUUUAUACGGGAAUAAAGUGCGCCACGUGUGGUGUUUGUAUGUACCGUAUGAAUAAGCAUCGGCUAACUUCGUGCCAGCAGCCGCGGUAAGACGAAGGAUGCAAGCGUUAUCCGGAUUCAUUGGGUUUAAAGGGAGCGUAGGUGGCCUUAUAAGUCAGUGGUGAAAUCCUGCAGCUUAACUGUAGAAUUGCCAUUGAUACUGUAGGGCUUGAGUAUAGAUGCCGUUGGCGGAAUAUGACAUGUAGUGGUGAAAUACAUAGAGAUGUCAUAGAACACCGAUUGCGAAGGCAGCUAACGAAACUAUAACUGACACUGAGGCUCGAAAGUGUGGGGGAUCAAACAGGAUUAGAUACC